This 72-nucleotide transfer RNA is filed under the name Caryophanon tenue. It matches the Rfam family "tRNA". Rfam says of the family: Transfer RNA (tRNA) molecules are approximately 80 nucleotides in length. Their secondary structure includes four short double-helical elements and three loops (D, anti-codon, and T loops). The record is from Rfam by way of RNAcentral. Lineage: Bacteria; Bacillati; Bacillota; Bacilli; Caryophanales; Caryophanaceae.
UCCGAAGUAGCUCAGUGGUAGAGCAUCCGGCUGUUAACCGGCAGGUCGUAGGUUCGAGUCCUACCUUCGGAG